GACGAACGCUGGCGGCGUGCUUAACACAUGCAAGUCGAACGGUGAUGCUCCAGCUUGCUGGAGUGGAUCAGUGGCGAACGGGUGAGUAACACGUGAGCAGCCUGCCCCAGACUCUGGAAUAAGCGCUGGAAACGGCGUCUAAUACUGGAUACGAAACUGGCCCGCAUGGGCAUGGUUUGGAAAGUUUUUCGGUUUGGGAUGGGCUCGCGGCCUAUCAGCUUGUUGGUGAGGUAAUGGCUCACCAAGGCGACGACGGGUAGCCGGCCUGAGAGGGCGACCGGCCACACUGGGACUGAGACACGGCCCAGACUCCUACGGGAGGCAGCAGUGGGGAAUAUUGCACAAUGGGCGAAAGCCUGAUGCAGCGACGCCGCGUGAGGGAUGACGGCCUUCGGGUUGUAAACCUCUUUCAGCAGGGAAGAAGCGAAAGUGACGGUACCUGCAGAAGAAGCACCGGCUAACUACGUG
This 468-nucleotide ribosomal RNA is filed under the name uncultured bacterium. RNAcentral describes it as "partial 16S ribosomal RNA". It matches the Rfam family "Bacterial small subunit ribosomal RNA", at positions 28 to 507 of the family's 1533-position model. The record is from RNAcentral.